RNAcentral lists this ribosomal RNA (639 nucleotides) under uncultured crenarchaeote TREC16-10. RNAcentral's name for it is "bacterial SSU rRNA". It matches the Rfam family "Archaeal small subunit ribosomal RNA", at positions 150 to 792 of the family's 1478-position model. The record is from RNAcentral. Lineage: Archaea; Thermoproteati; Thermoproteota.
ACCGCGAUAGGUCAUCACUUCUGGAAUGGGUAAUGACUUAAACCUAUAUGGCCCCUGGAUUGGACUGCGGCCGAUCAGGCUGUUGGUGAGGUAAUGGCCCACCAAACCUGUAACCGGUACGGGCUCUGAGAGGAGGAGCCCGGAGAUGGGCACUGAGACAAGGGCCCAGGCCCUAUGGGGCGCAGCAGGCGCGAAACCUCUGCAAUAGGCGAAAGCUUGACAGGGUUACUCUGAGUGAUCUCCGUUAAGGAGAUCUUUUGGCACCUCUAAAAAUGGUGCAGAAUAAGGGGUGGGCAAGUCUGGUGUCAGCCGCCGCGGUAAUACCAGCACCCCGAGUGGUCGGGACGUUUAUUGGGCCUAAAGCAUCCGUAGCCGGUUCUACAAGUCUUCCGUUAAAUCCACCUGCUUAACAGAUGGGCUGCGGAAGAUACUAUAGAGCUAGGAGGCGGGAGAGGCAAGCGGUACUCGAUGGGUAGGGGUAAAAUCCGUUGAUCCAUUGAAGACCACCAGUGGCGAAGGCGGCUUGCCAGAACGCGCUCGACGGUGAGGGAUGAAAGCUGGGGGAGCAAACCGGAUUAGAUACCCGGGUAGUCCCAGCUGUAAACGAUGCAGACUCGGUGAUGAAUUGGCUUAUUGCUA